AUCAUUACCGAGUGCGGGCCCUCUGGGUCCAACCUCCCAUCCGUGUCUAUCUGUACCCUGUUGCUUCGGCGUGGCCACGGCCCGCCGGAGACUAACAUUUGAACGCUGUCUGAAGUUUGCAGCCUGAGUUUUUAGUUAAACAAUCGUUAAAACUUUCAACAACGGAUCUCUUGGUUCCGGCAUCGAUGAAGAACGCAGCGAAAUGCGAUAAUUAAUGUGAAUUGCAGAAUUCAGUGAAUCAUCGAGUCUUUGAACGCACAUUGCGCCCCCUGGUAUUCCGGGGGGCAUGCCUGUCCGAGCGUCAUUGCUGCCCUCAAGCACGGCUUGUGUGUUGGGCUUCCGUCCCUGGCAACGGGGACGGGCCCAAAAGGCAGUGGCGGCACCAUGUCUGGUCCUCGAGCGUAUGGGGCUUUGUCACCCGCUCCCGUAGGUCCAGCUGGCAGCUAGCCUCGCAGCCAAUCUUUUUAACCAGGUUGACCUCGGAUCAGGUAGGGAUACCCGCUGAACUUAAGCAUAUCAAUAAGCGGAGGAA
Molecule: ribosomal RNA, 532 nt
Filed under: uncultured fungus
Lineage: Eukaryota; Fungi
Description: eukaryotic LSU rRNA
Rfam family: 5.8S ribosomal RNA (bases 151-304)
Source: RNAcentral